CCGCUUGGCAGCGCCCCCUUCCCUCUUGUCCGAGGGGCAGAGGCGCGUUUGCGCCGUUGGGGAACCGUUUGGAAUCCGGCCUCCGGCGCGGACGCCUCAUGGAGCCGGAGAGGGCGAGGACCGGGGGGCUCCCCAAGAAGGGCAGGAAGAGGAGGCGGGCCCCCAACAAGCUGGUCGGGGCGGCCGAGGCGAUGAGAGCCCGCUGGGAACUUGAGGAGAGGCGGCCCGGGGCCAAG
Molecule: non-coding RNA, 236 nt
Organism: Ceratotherium simum simum (southern white rhinoceros)
Lineage: Eukaryota; Metazoa; Chordata; Mammalia; Perissodactyla; Rhinocerotidae
Source: RefSeq, a predicted model, not a curated record